GACGAACGCUGGCGGCAUGCCUAACACAUGCAAGUCGAACGAGAUCUUCAGGUCUAGUGGCGCACGGGUGCGUAACGCGUGGGAAUCUGCCCUUUGGUUCGGAAUAACAGUUGGAAACGACUGCUAAUACCGGAUGAUGACGAAAGUCCAAAGAUUUAUCGCCAGAGGAGGAGCCCGCGUAGGAUUAGCUAGUUGGUGUGGUAAAGGCGCACCAAGGCGACGAUCCUUAGCUGGUCUGAGAGGAUGAUCAGCCACACUGGGACUGAGACACGGCCCAGACUCCUACGGGAGGCAGCAGUGGGGAAUAUUGGACAAUGGGCGAAAGCCUGAUCCAGCAAUGCCGCGUGAGUGAUGAAGGCCUUAGGGUUGUAAAGCUCUUUUACCCGGGAUGAUAAUGACAGUACCGGGAGAAUAAGCUCCGGCUAACUCCGUGCCAGCAGCCGCCGUAA
RNAcentral lists this ribosomal RNA (449 nucleotides) under uncultured bacterium. Its description in RNAcentral is "partial 16S ribosomal RNA". It matches the Rfam family "Bacterial small subunit ribosomal RNA", at positions 28 to 523 of the family's 1533-position model. The record is from RNAcentral.